Molecule: long non-coding RNA, 153 nt
Organism: Orcinus orca (killer whale)
Lineage: Eukaryota; Metazoa; Chordata; Mammalia; Artiodactyla; Delphinidae
Exons: 3
Source: RefSeq, a predicted model, not a curated record
UGGACAUUCAUUAACUGCCUCUUGUAUGUCAGAUCCCUUGAAAAACUUGAAGGCUUUUCUGGAGAUUCCUUUUGUGUCACAGAUUGGCUUCUGAGGAUGGAGGCAGUGGAUAAAGAUCAGUUAUCAGAUGACAAUUUUUGUAAAAGUCAGGAC